This 253-nucleotide ribosomal RNA is filed under the name uncultured bacterium. RNAcentral describes it as "partial 16S ribosomal RNA". It matches the Rfam family "Bacterial small subunit ribosomal RNA", at positions 524 to 776 of the family's 1533-position model. The record is from RNAcentral.
UACGGAGGGGGCUAGCGUUGUUCGGAAUUACUGGGCGUAAAGCGCACGUAGGCGGCUUUGUAAGUUAGAGGUGAAAGCCCAGGGCUUAACCCUGGAAUUGCCUUUAAGACUGCAUCGCUAGAAUCGUGGAGAGGUGAGUGGAAUUCCGAGUGUAGAGGUGAAAUGCGUAGAUAUCGGGAGGAACACCUGUGGCGAAGGCGGCCCCCUGGUUGGAUACUGACGCUGAUACGCGAAAGCGUGGGGAGCAAACAGG